GCCAGCCUGGCCUCUGCAGCUUUCCCUCCCACAGUUUUUCCCCGCCCCGAGAAGGCAAACUUCUCGGAAUUCUGGCAGAGUCCGGCUGCCUGCUGAAGGAAUGGGGAGAGCCAAUGCUCGGGAAGGAUGUUUGACCAGGCCAAACAAACUAACGACUGGAUGGAGACCUUUCUGAAAAUCUCAACGCUGGUGCUGGUUAUGAUUUUCUCCCUGAAGCCUCCUUUUAGCUGCAUCUGAUAAAUUUGGAAAAUGAAGCUUUUCUCUCUAAGAAAAUAUGCCAGCCAAGAUGAUGGAGUAGGAGGAACCUGUUUAGUCCAGCUCUGGGCACCACUCUACCCUCCCCACGAACUGCAUAUCUCAACUCCCAACCAUCAUAUCUCUCAUGCCCUGGGUGUGCGUUCUACAUCAAUAACACUGAUACCAAUCCCUUGUGAGGGAGGAUCUUGGACUUGGCCUCUGUGGCAAAGAAAAGGGCUGAAGAAUGGUUGCUCCUAUUCUGAUCCAGAGACAAGACUCAGGCAAGGAAUAGGAUAUCAAUAUGGUCCCUCAAGUGUCAAUCCCUGCAGGAGAAAGGAUCAAAGAAUCAUCCUCCAGGGUCUUCAGUAGCUGAGGCUGCAGCACCUAUGGAACAGUUGCCAGGCUACAUCUUCCCAGGAUAACAGCUGUGGGCACUGAGCUGGAAACACUGCUGCUCCCCAGAUUCUUGUGUUCAGGUUCCUGGGCUGUCUCCAUUAGAGUCUGAGGGGAGAUGGUGGUCAGGGUGGUGGUUUGGCUUCCCUUGUUCAUUCUGCCUCCCAUCUCUCCCUCAGAGUGCCUGGUUGCUUCUGGCUGCUUACCUGCUCUGUGGGUGGUAAUUGGUUGGCAAUGGGGGAGAUAGCUGGCCCUUCUUCACAGGAGUCAUCUCCCCAAAUGCUGGCUCUAAGGGAGGGCUGGAAGCAGGACUGGUGAUCUGGGAGGUGCUGCUAUUCCCAGGGUUCCUGUGCCUAUCUGCCAUUUUGUCAGAAGGCAUCAAGCCUGUGGGUGUAACUUUGGGUUACCAUAUUUCACCACAUGAUCGUUGCAGACGUUUGCCAAUUUUUCUUUUGCUAAAAAGUGGGGUGCGACCAUUAUGUGAAGCUUCUUUUCUUUAAAAAAAUUAUGCCAGUAUUACUUGUCUUGUAGUUUCUGCCAGUUUUGCACCAAUAUUUCACUGACUGAAAACUGCCUUUCCACAGCUCUGUUUCCUUGCUUAUUCAGUGGUCACAAUCACUUUCAGCUUGAAGCCUGCAGAAUAGUUUUUAUAUUUAUCCAUAAUCAGAAAGAAAUGCUUCACAUAUUAAUGUAUCGCUGGCAGAUAAACUAAACUGUGUUUAGUUAGGGCAGGAAGAUGCAAGUCUUACCAUUUCACAUGACUUACAGCAGCUUUGCCUUCCCACCCACUCCCCUUGCACUUACUGCUCUUCAUUGAGUUGAGGGACAACACUGUUACUACUGCAGCGCACUAAAUAACUCAAGUCAACUUUCAAAAAUAU
This is a non-coding RNA of Phascolarctos cinereus (koala), 1511 nucleotides long. The record is from RefSeq and is a predicted model, not a curated record. Lineage: Eukaryota; Metazoa; Chordata; Mammalia; Diprotodontia; Phascolarctidae.